CCGCGCCCCCCACCCCAGUGCGCGCCUUCUGCCCGGAGCUCCUCGCCCUGGGGACAGCUGGCAGCCCGCGCAGGACCAGACACAAAGCCGAUCAAUCCCGGCGGCGCGGGGGUGGGGGAACGACCCGCCAAGGCUUUCCCUUCCGCUGCUUGAUUACUGCUGCCCCACCACCACCACCACUAGGACCCGGCGGACACCUUGGGUCGCUUCCACGCCCCCAGCCCACUCCCCUCCUUAAAAAAAAGAACGGCCCGGAGCCCCCAUCCCAGGACCGGACGAUUGAAGACCGGCCUCUUGGCACCCUGCGGAGAAGGCGCCCGGGGAAGAGAAACUGACAUCCCUUCGGGACCCGCCCCUCCCCUCCGCUUCCUCGGCUGCACUACUCUCUGCUCCUCGGCAGCCCCAGAAGUUCGGGGCCCCCGCCCGCCUCCCGCGCUCCUGCCGCCGGGACCCUGGACCUCCGCGCCCAGCAGCUAGCUCCGGCCCCGGGAAGAUGGCGAGGGGGAGCAGCCACCGCCUCCUCCUGCUGUUGCUGCGCUACCUGGUGGUCGCCCUGGGCUAUCAUAAGGCCUAUGGAUUAUCUGCCCCCAAAGACCAUCAAGUUGUCACAGCUAUAGAGUACCAAGAGGUUAUUUUAGCCUGCAAAACCCCAAAGAAGACCAUUUCUUCCAGAUUAGAGUGGAAGAAACUGGGGCGGAGUGUCUCCUUUGUCUACUAUCAACAGGCUCUCCAAGGUGAUUUUAAAGAUCGAGCUGAGAUGAUAGAUUUCAGUAUACGAAUCAAAAAUGUGACAAGAAGUGAUGCUGGGAAAUAUCGUUGUGAAGUUAGUGCCCCAUCAGAGCAAGGCCAAAACCUGGAAGAGGAUACAGUCACUCUGGAAGUACUAGUGGCUCCAGCAGUACCAUCCUGUGAAGUACCCACUUCUGCUCUGAGUGGAACUGUGGUAGAGCUACGAUGUCAAGAUAAGGAAGGGAUUCCAGCUCCUGAAUAUACAUGGUUUAAGGAUGGUAACCGUUUACUAGGAAAUCCAAAACUUGGCUCCCAAAGCAGCAACAGCUCAUAUACAAUGAAUACAAAAUCUGGAACUCUGCAAUUUAACACUGUUUCCAAGCUCGACAGUGGAGAAUACUUCUGUGAAGCCCGAAAUUCUGUUGGAUAUAGCAGGUGUCCUGGGAAACGAAUGCAAGUAGAUGAUCUCAACAUAAGUGGCAUCAUAGCAGCUGUAGUAGUUGUGGCCUUAGUGAUUUCUGUGUGUGGCCUUGGUGUGUGCUAUGCUCAGAGAAAAGGCUACUUUUCAACUGCCAUGGUUUCAGAUACACUGUCAUCUACAUCUUUUGAAGACUUAGCUACCAUUGAUUUCCUGUUCCCAGAUGCCUGGCCCCAUCCCUCAUAAUAUCCCAGUACAAAUCCAGGGUGAAAUCCAAGUUAUCAGGACUAGGAGUAGCAAAGGAGGAAGGGUAGUUCUUCAUCUAAAGCCCCUACAUUGAGUGAAAAUGAUUUCAAGCACACAAAAUCCUUCAUAAUUUAAAAGAAUUCUACUUUUAAGAUACACCAAAACCACAGUUGUUACAGAUAUUAAAGUAUUAUAAAACUCUGCUUUGUCUUAAUUUGCAAAGAGGUACAUAACAAAAUGAAAUUGAUAUUUCAUUAUGGUUUUUUAUGACUUGAUUUACCUAAAAUUGUUAUUUUAAGCAAAUAGUUCUGUCAUUAUCCAAAAUAUGAUCUGGCUUCUUUUGUCUGGGCUAAAGAACAGGAAUCAAAUUACUUUAAAAUAUUUUGAUAUUUGUGAAAUGUUAACUAAUGUUCUAACUUUUAGAGAAAGUUAUUACAUCAUACUGAUUGUGAAGUUAAUCCACAAAUCAAGCAAAUACAACCUGCAGACACCCUGUGUGCCAGAGUGUUAUCUAGGAGGUUAAGAAAAUACUAAUAGAUGCAAAAGGAUUCUCUGGUCUCAUUUCUACCAAAAUCCUCUUUAUAAUAUAAUUCUUAUUCCAUUGCUCAUGUUAUCACUAAUGUACCCACAAAAGGGAGGCAGUGAGGUUGGGUCUUAUACCCAAGGGUUUGCACUUUGUAUUUACUUUCAUCUCUGAGAACCAAAAGUGACAUGAAGAGAAAUAGCUAAUGACCAGGUCUCACAGGUGUGCAUAGGACUCACCUGGUGUGUGUUAUUUAUAAAUUUUGAGAAGUAAAUACAAACCCAAAUGGGCUUAUUUUAUCCUCACUGAUGCUUGCUGCUAUUUCCUUUCCCUAAGACUCCUUUGAAGAGGCUCCAUGACCUUGACAUCAAGGCUCAACAAUGGUGCCCACAUAACUUUUCAGGUAUCUUUUGCUGCAUGAGUGGUGGCUUCAAAUCCCUGUCUCUAAAAAUCGUUCAUUGAAAUUCUGGGCUGGAUCAAGUCCUUCACUGUUAAAGCCAAGGGAUUGCCAAUCCUUUUUAUGGCAAGUCAGGGAUUAGGAAAUAAGUGAUUGUCUGGUAAAUAAAAUAUAAGUAAAUGAACUCACUGCCACUCCCUGCCUCUGGCACCUGCUUGAGUCAUAAAAGGCACUUGAGGAAUGAUGGUUGAAAUAAAAAAUGGGUCUAACCAUCUGUUUUCUGAACUGAUUAACCACAAAAACCUCCAACUAGUGUUAGAAUAUGAAAAUUCCAACAGGUAGCUUAAUAGUAAGAGCAAUUAAUCUGUGUAAAAAAAAAGCAAUAUCUUUUAGAACUGCUUUUGAUUAUUUAAUCCAUAUUAAAAACAAAAUAUGGCUACAGCAUAUCCUGUUAUUCCAGGAAAAUCUAGAUGAAAAGUUGAUUCAUGACCUUUGACAACUUUGGCCACCAUUAAGUCAUUUUCAGAGGAAUCUGCUCUUGUCACCCAGUAGCAAAGCAGAGCCCCAGCUUUCACUGAGCAAAUGGAUUAAGCACUCACCGAAUGCCUGCUGUACAUCUGGACACCAGGUCACUGGGAAGAUGCCUUUUGUCAGCCUGCUCCCUUUGACUUGUCUGUGGCAUUUGAUGCUCCUCACUAGAGUCCUUUCUGGUUUCUAUAACAUGUUCUGCCCCCAAAAUCAAAUUAUCACUAUUAGCGAUUAGCAAACUUUCUGUAAAGGGCAAGAUAGUAGAUAUUUUAAACCAUAUGGCUCCUGCUACAACUACUAGACUCUGCCAUUGUCACCCAAAAGCAGCCACAAAAAUGAGCAUGUCUGCAUCCCAAUAGAAACGUAGCAAGCACAAACAGGAUUUGGCCCACAGGCAUAGUUUCCCAACUCCUGGUGGCAACCGAUGGAAAACACCUAUCUAUAAAUUUUUCUAAAUGCUGCUUUAAUUUAAAUAACACAAAUUCAUAUUAUAAGAAGAAACUUAAGUAGUGCCUUAACUUCACUAAAUAGAGGAAAAGUUUCUUUUUUAAGCUAUUAAAGGCUAGAUAUCAAUUCAUUUUAUGCAGUAUAAACAUCUAACAGUCUUUGUGCCAAAUAUAUCUUGUACAGUAUCUUAAAAUAUUGUAUACAGCUAAGUCAAAAUCAUUAUGUAAAAAUGGUUUCUUCUACACAUAGGAUAUAGUGUGAGCACUAAUUUUCUAAUUAUUAAAAAGUUGUCUAUCUGUGGAUCACUGGUAUCUGGGCUGUUUCUGUGUGUGUGUGUGUGUGUGUGUGUGUGUGUGUGUGUGUGUAUGUGUUGUUGUUGUUUUAUGAACUUGAACACAAACAACUGGUAAAAUCCCAUUGUAAUUCUUAGAAUUUUAUUUAUUUUCAUGCAGUGAUAUUGUAUUGUAUGAAGAUUGAGGCUCUAGAAUCAAUAAUAGUUUGUUUUAUUUUAAUAUUGUUGCUGUUGUAACUAGAUUCACUUUAUUUUUAGUUGGGGGUUUAACCUAACUAAAUCUAGAACGAUGGAUUGUUUUUCCAUACAACUUAACAAAGAACUUCCUUCAGUCCA
This is an RNA transcript of Ictidomys tridecemlineatus (thirteen-lined ground squirrel), 3916 nucleotides long. It is a transcript of the gene named junctional adhesion molecule 2, with no coding region annotated. NCBI's taxonomy places the organism in Eukaryota, Metazoa, Chordata, Mammalia, Rodentia, Sciuridae. The record is from RefSeq and is a predicted model, not a curated record.